Molecule: ribosomal RNA, 185 nt
Filed under: Klebsiella pneumoniae
Lineage: Bacteria; Pseudomonadati; Pseudomonadota; Gammaproteobacteria; Enterobacterales; Enterobacteriaceae
Description: partial 23S ribosomal RNA
Rfam family: Bacterial large subunit ribosomal RNA
Source: RNAcentral
UAGCUAAAUGCGGAAGAGAUAAGUGCUGAAAGCAUCUAAGCACGAAACUUGCCCCGAGAUGAGUUCUCCCUGAGACUUUAAGUCUCCUGAAGGAACGUUGAAGACGAUGACGUUGAUAGGCCGGGUGUGUAAGCGCAGCGAUGCGUUGAGCUAACCGGUACUAAUGAACCGUGAGGCUUAACCUU